CAAAAACAUCUCUUUUUGUAAUAAAAAGUAGGCUCUGCUCAGUGAUGAAAUUUUAAAUAGCCGCAGUAUUUUGACUGUGCUAAGGUAGCAUAAUAAUUUGUUCUAUAAUAGAGAGCUGGAAUGAAUGAGUUGACGUUAUUAAAACUUUUUUUGAAAAAAUUUAGAAUUUGAUAUUCUCAUCAAAAAGUGAGACUUUCUAAAGGGACGAUAAGACCCUAUAAAACUUUACUGAUUAGUUUUUACGAAUUUAGGAUUUAGUUGAAAAGAUUAUUAGUUGAGCUGGGGCGGCACGAAAUAUUCUUUUCGAAAUUAAACAUAAUACAUGAAAUUAAAGAUCUUAAAUUAAGAUUUAGAAUAAGUUACUUUAGGGAUAACAGCAUAAUUUUUUCGUAUAGAUCUUAUAGAAGAAAAAGACUUAUGACCUCGAUGUUGAAUUGAGGGGCUUUCUUUAAGCAGCAAUAAAGAGAAGGGGUCUGUUCGACCUUUGAUUCCUCACGUGAUCUGAGUUCAG
Molecule: ribosomal RNA, 511 nt
Filed under: Munneurycope sp. BOLD:ADL4774
Lineage: Eukaryota; Metazoa; Arthropoda; Malacostraca; Isopoda; Munnopsidae
Description: partial 16S ribosomal RNA
Rfam family: Archaeal large subunit ribosomal RNA
Source: RNAcentral